This 1373-nucleotide ribosomal RNA is filed under the name uncultured bacterium. RNAcentral's name for it is "bacterial SSU rRNA". It matches the Rfam family "Bacterial small subunit ribosomal RNA", at positions 28 to 1381 of the family's 1533-position model. The record is from RNAcentral.
GAUGAACGCUGGCGGCGUGCCUAAUACAUGCAAGUCGAGCGAACGGACGAGAAGCUUGCUUCUCUGAUGUUAGCGGCGGACGGGUGAGUAACACGUGGAUAACCUACCUAUAAGACUGGGAUAACUUCGGGAAACCGGAGCUAAUACCGGAUAAUAUUUUGAACCGCAUGGUUCAAAAGUGAAAGACGGUCUUGCUGUCACUUAUAGAUGGAUCCGCGCUGCAUUAGCUAGUUGGUAAGGUAACGGCUUACCAAGGCAACGAUGCAUAGCCGACCUGAGAGGGUGAUCGGCCACACUGGAACUGAGACACGGUCCAGACUCCUACGGGAGGCAGCAGUAGGGAAUCUUCCGCAAUGGGCGAAAGCCUGACGGAGCAACGCCGCGUGAGUGAUGAAGGUCUUCGGAUCGUAAAGCUCUGUUAUUAGGGAAGAACAUAUGUGUAAGUAACUGUGCACAUCUUGACGGUACCUAAUCAGAAAGCCACGGCUAACUACGUGCCAGCAGCCGCGGUAAUACGUAGGUGGCAAGCGUUAUCCGGAAUUAUUGGGCGUAAAGCGCGCGUAGGCGGUUUUUUAAGUCUGAUGUGAAAGCCCACGGCUCAACCGUGGAGGGUCAUUGGAAACUGGAAAACUUGAGUGCAGAAGAGGAAAGUGGAAUUCCAUGUGUAGCGGUGAAAUGCGCAGAGAUAUGGAGGAACACCAGUGGGCGAAGGCGACUUUCUGGUCUGUAACUGACGCUGAUGUGCGAAAGCGUGGGGAUCAAACAGGAUUAGAUACCCUGGUAGUCCACGCCGUAAACGAUGAGUGCUAAGUGUUAGGGGGUUUCCGCCCCUUAGUGCUGCAGCUAACGCAUUAAGCACUCCGCCUGGGGAGUACGACCGCAAGGUUGAAACUCAAAGGAAUUGACGGGGACCCGCACAAGCGGUGGAGCAUGUGGUUUAAUUCGAAGCAACGCGAAGAACCUUACCAAAUCUUGACAUCCUUUGACAACUCUAGAGAUAGAGCCUUCCCCUUCGGGGGGCAAAGUGACAGGUGGUGCAUGGUUGUCGUCAGCUCGUGUCGUGAGAUGUUGGGUUAAGUCCCGCAACGAGCGCAACCCUUAAGCUUAGUUGCCAUCAUUAAGUUGGGCACUCUAAGUUGACUGCCGGUGACAAACCGGAGGAAGGUGGGGAUGACGUCAAAUCAUCAUGCCCCUUAUGAUUUGGGCUACACACGUGCUACAAUGGACAAUACAAAGGGCAGCGAAACCGCGAGGUCAAGCAAAUCCCAUAAAGUUGUUCUCAGUUCGGAUUGUAGUCUGCAACUCGACUACAUGAAGCUGGAAUCGCUAGUAAUCGUAGAUCAGCAUGCUACGGUGAAUACGUUCCCGGGUCU